AGGGUGACGGGGGAGCACGGCCUGGAACCGCAGCUCGUCCUACAACUCUUCAGGCACCUCUUCUAUAGGGUCACCGCCUGGGCCCUAAAUCACCUCCUGCUCAGGAAGGAUCUGUGCUCCUGGAGCACCGGGCUGCAGCUCAGGUUCAACAUCAGCCAGCUGGAGGAGUGGCUGCGCAAGCAGCAGCUGCAGCACCCCUUAGGCCCCAUAAGACCCCA
Gallus gallus (chicken) is the source of this 218-nucleotide long non-coding RNA. RefSeq lists it as uncharacterized. The record is from RefSeq and is a predicted model, not a curated record. Lineage: Eukaryota; Metazoa; Chordata; Aves; Galliformes; Phasianidae. The transcript is spliced from 2 exons.